UAAACUGGGUUUUUUCUAUGG
RNAcentral lists this non-coding RNA (21 nucleotides) under Caenorhabditis elegans. Lineage: Eukaryota; Metazoa; Nematoda; Chromadorea; Rhabditida; Rhabditidae. The record is from RNAcentral.